GAUGAACGCUAGCUACAGGCUUAACACAUGCAAGUCGAGGGGAAACGGCAUUAAGUGCUUGCACUUUUUGGACGUCGACCGGCGCACGGGUGAGUAACGCGUAUCCAACCUUCCCAUGACUAAGGGAUAACCUGCCGAAAGGCAGACUAAUACCUUAUGGUCUUCACUGACGGCAUCAGAUGUGAAGUAGAGAUUUAUCGGUUAUGGAUGGGGAUGCGUCUGAUUAGCUUGUUGGCGGGGUAACGGCCCACCAAGGCAACGAUCAGUAGGGGUUCUGAGAGGAAGGUCCCCCACAUUGGAACUGAGACACGGUCCAAACUCCUACGGGAGGCAGCAGUGAGGAAUAUUGGUCAAUGGGCGAGAGCCUGAACCAGCCAAGUAGCGUGCAGGAUGACGGCCCUAUGGGUUGUAAACUGCUUUUGUAUGGGGAUAAAGUCAGUCACGUGUGAUUGUUUGCAGGUACCAUACGAAUAAGGACCGGCUAAUUCCGUGCCAGCAGCCGCGGUAAUACGGAAGGUCCGGGCGUUAUCCGGAUUUAUUGGGUUUAAAGGGAGCGUAGGCUGGAGAUUAAGUGUGUUGUGGAAUGUAGACGCUCAACGUCUGACUUGCAGCGCAUACUGGUUUCCUUGAGUACGCACAACGUUGGCGGAAUUCGUCGUGUAGCGGUGAAAUGCUUAGAUAUGACGAAGAACUCCGAUUGCGAAGGCAGCUGACGGGAGCGCAACUGACGCUGAAGCUCGAAGGUGCGGGUAUCGAACAGG
Molecule: ribosomal RNA, 761 nt
Filed under: Prevotella melaninogenica
Lineage: Bacteria; Pseudomonadati; Bacteroidota; Bacteroidia; Bacteroidales; Prevotellaceae
Description: bacterial SSU rRNA
Rfam family: Bacterial small subunit ribosomal RNA
Source: RNAcentral